RNAcentral lists this ribosomal RNA (1411 nucleotides) under uncultured bacterium. RNAcentral's name for it is "bacterial SSU rRNA". It matches the Rfam family "Bacterial small subunit ribosomal RNA". The record is from RNAcentral.
GAGUUUGAUCAUGGCUCAGGAUGAACGCUAGCUACAGGCUUAACACAUGCAAGUCGAGGGGAAACGGCAUUGAGUGCUUGCACUCUUUGGACGUCGACCGGCGCACGGGUGAGUAACGCGUAUCCAACCUUCCCAUUACUGUGGGAUAACCUGCCGAAAGGCAGACUAAUACCGCAUAGUCUUCGAUGACGGCAUCAGAUUUGAAGUAAAGAUUUAUCGGUAAUGGAUGGGGAUGCGUCUGAUUAGCUUGUUGGCGGGGUAACGGCCCACCAAGGCAACGAUCAGUAGGGGUUCUGAGAGGAAGGUCCCCCACAUUGGAACUGAGACACGGCCCAGACUCCUACGGGAGGCAGCAGUGGGGAAUCUUCCGCAAUGGACGAAAGUCUGACGGAGCAACGCCGCGUGAGUGAUGACGGCCUUCGGGUUGUAAAGCUCUGUUAAUCGGGACGAAAGGCCUUCUUGCGAAUAGUUAGAAGGAUUGACGGUACCGGAAUAGAAAGCCACGGCUAACUACGUGCCAGCAGCCGCGGUAAUACGUAGGUGGCAAGCGUUGUCCGGAAUUAUUGGGCGUAAAGCGCGCGCAGGCGGAUAGGUCAGUCUGUCUUAAAAGUUCGGGGCUUAACCCCGUGAUGGGAUGGAAACUGCCAAUCUAGAGUAUCGGAGAGGAAAGUGGAAUUCCUAGUGUAGCGGUGAAAUGCGUAGAUAUUAGGAAGAACACCAGUGGCGAAGGCGACUUUCUGGACGAAAACUGACGCUGAGGCGCGAAAGCCAGGGGAGCGAACGGGAUUAGAUACCCCGGUAGUCCUGGCCGUAAACGAUGGGUACUAGGUGUAGGAGGUAUCGACCCCUUCUGUGCCGGAGUUAACGCAAUAAGUACCCCGCCUGGGGAGUACGACCGCAAGGUUGAAACUCAAAGGAAUUGACGGGGGCCCGCACAAGCGGUGGAGUAUGUGGUUUAAUUCGACGCAACGCGAAGAACCUUACCAGGUCUUGACAUUGAUGGACAGGACUAGAGAUAGUUCCUCUUCUUCGGAAGCCAGAAAACAGGUGGUGCACGGUUGUCGUCAGCUCGUGUCGUGAGAUGUUGGGUUAAGUCCCGCAACGAGCGCAACCCCUAUCUUAUGUUGCCAGCACUUUGGGUGGGAACUCAUGAGAGACUGCCGCAGACAAUGCGGAGGAAGGCGGGGAUGACGUCAAAUCGUCAUGCCCCUUAUGACCUGGGCUACACACGUACUACGAUGGGAGUUAAUAGACGAAAGCGAGAAUCGCGAGAUGGAGCAACCCGAGAAAACGCUCUCUCGGUUCGGAAUCGGAGAGCUGCGAACUCGCCUACGUAAAGUCGGAAAUCGCUAGGAAUCGCGGGCGGGCGGACUGCGGUAAAGACGUUUCCCGAGCCUGUAGACACCGCCCG